RNAcentral lists this ribosomal RNA (339 nucleotides) under Triticum aestivum (bread wheat). RNAcentral's name for it is "partial small subunit ribosomal RNA". The record is from RNAcentral. Lineage: Eukaryota; Viridiplantae; Streptophyta; Magnoliopsida; Poales; Poaceae.
AUGGAGUUAGUAUGCUGGAACGUACGUGGCCUCAAUAGUCCAUCUAGGAGGGAUGCGUUGAGGGAGUUAGAGGAUUCUAUGCAUGUGUCGAUCUGGUGCAUCCUAGAGACUAAACUAGAGCAUGUAGACCCUUAUGUGAUUAUGCAAUGUUUAGGGCCAUCUUAUGAUGGUUUUGCGUACUUGCCGGCUUCGGCCACUCGAGGUGGCAUCAUCAUUGCUUGGAACUCUUCCAAGGUGACGGUUUCUAACACAGUUCGAGACACUAACUUCAUCACGGGAUUUGUCACACCGAGGGAAGGAGCUUCUUGGUGGCUUACGGUGGUAUAUGGGCCUCAAUAG